RNA transcript from Grus americana (Whooping crane), 4245 nucleotides. It is a transcript of the gene named methyltransferase 8, methylcytidine, with no coding region annotated. The transcript has 17 exons. Lineage: Eukaryota; Metazoa; Chordata; Aves; Gruiformes; Gruidae. The record is from RefSeq and is a predicted model, not a curated record.
AUCCCCCGCCAUGCCCCGCGGCAGCCCGCUGCGGCCGCGUGGGUACCCUCAGUCAGCGGGCGGGAGCAGGGUCGUUCUCCCGAGCAAUGUCCCAAAAGUUGUCGCCAUCAUCAACGGCUACUUGCCAGCAGAGCAACUGAAGUCUGUGGAAGGACUCGUUUCACUUCCUUGCCAGAGGCCAGGCGCCCAAAUGGGGUCUCUGAACAAAAUGAAUUUCAUUACAAGGCUUUCUGCUUUAUGUCUGAGGAAAAGCAAGAUGCAACAGAGGCACCAAAGUACGAGACGACCAGCUGUUCCACUUGGAUCACGGAUUUUAACUGAUCCUUCUAAGGUUUUUGAGCAUAACAUGUGGGACCACAUGCAGUGGUCACGAGAAGAAGAGGAAAAUGCCAAGGAAAGAGCAGCAGAGAAUUCACUUGUGAAAGUCCAAUGGGAAGACCAAGAUAAAUAUGAGAGAGAAGCCAGUAAAUAUUGGAAUGAAUUUUACAAGACUCAUAAAAAUAACUUUUUCAAGGAUCGCAAUUGGCUGUUUCUGGAGUUUCCAGAAAUUCUUCCAGAAAAAAAGAGAGAAGAGUUGAAAACAGAAGAAAUAUCUUCAGAAUGCACAAAAAUAAAUAGUACCAACAGUUUUUCAGACAAAAAUGAAAUAUUUGAGGAAGGAGAAAAAUAUUGGAAGAAAAAUUAUGGAGGUGGUUCUACUUCUGUACAAGGAUAUGUAUGUAAUAAAAAAGAAGCAAAAUCUCCUACUGACAAUCCUCAGGGUAAAAUCUGUGGAGAAGAACUUGGCAGGCUAGAAUCCUUCCCUGGUAGUGAUGCCACUUACAGAAUAUUAGAGGUUGGUUGUGGUGCUGGAAACAGUGUCUUUCCUAUUUUGAAAGUUCUAUGCAAUACACCUGGAACCUUUCUAUACUGUUGUGAUUUUGCUUCAGGAGCAGUGGAGCUGGUAAAGUCACAUUCGUCCUACAAUUCAGCCUGGUGUUCUGCCUUUGUUCAUGAUGUGUGUGAUGAUGCUUUACCCUAUCCUUUUCCAGAUGAGAUCCUGGAUGUCAUUCUCCUUGUCUUUGUGCUCUCUACUAUUCAUCCUGACAGGAUGCAAGGUGUUGUAAACAGAUUGGCUAAACUCCUGAAACCUGGAGGAAUGUUGUUAUUUCGAGACUAUGGAAGAUAUGAUACAGCUCAACUUCGUUUUAAAAAAGGUCAUUGCUUGUCAGAAAACUUUUACGUACGAGGAGAUGGAACCAGGGUAUAUUUCUUUACCAAAGAUGAGGUAUGGAACAUGUUCAACUUGGCUGGAUUAACUGAAGUACAGAAUUUAGUUGAUCGGCGAUUGCAAGUAAACAGGAAGAAAAAAGUGAAAAUGCAGCGAGUAUGGAUACAAAGCAAGUUCCAAAAACCAUUGCUGCUAUCUCUGAAUAUUCCUGAAGAAACCACCAAAAGGCACCCUUAGGGAUAAUUGCACCACGAACUCCAGAAGCUGAAGCAAAUUUGACUUUCUUGUAGGUCCCCUUCAGAAACUGGAAGGCUGCUAUAAGGACCAUCCUCCACCCUUUGCAAGUACCAAGCAACUAAAAGAAGAGCUUGCCUGGUUUGAAAGUGGGAGCCAUACAGGCAGGAGGGGAGGAAGAUGAAGAUGCAGCUCAAAGGCUGACAAGAGAACGAAACUCUAUAGUGACAGAAGCUACACUCCUAACCUCCUGGGAAGCAAAUACAAAAGAAUAACAGAAGUGUCUGCAUCCUGAUUGUGUUCAAUCAAGCUACCCUACUUUCUUAUUUACAUUAAUAAAGCUUUUUGAGACUCCCAAGUGAAAUCAUGCAGAUGGAGUCAAGAUCUCUGGGCCCCAGAAGAUAAAUGCCUAACACGUGACCUACAAGUGUAUUUCUGCUGCCUGCGAUAGAUACAAAGAAAGCAAGAAAGUCUUGGUUUAUUCUACUAGGAGGAAAAUGAGUAAAUGUUAUAUUAUCCAGCCCUUUAUGUGGGACUUUCUAAUGUGUUUUUUGGAGAGGACUGAAUCCUGCUUUCAAUUAUGCACGGUAUGCUGAAGGAACCAACUAAAAGUUUUGCCACCAACUUCACUCAAGACAAGAUCUCAUCAUAAAGAAAUUCCAUACUCGGAUCUGCAGCUAUUGUGCAUACCUGUUCAGUAAUCUUCCAUGAGGGCAGUGUAGUGCCAAAGGAGGAAAAGCUGAAUGUACUUUUCAUUCCCAGGAGAAAUUAAAAAGAAGGCAAGUGCUUUGAGUGGUAAGCAAACCUGCCUUCAUUUUUAUUCUACUGACCUGCCAUAACGAAACUUGAAACAAAGCUCAUGGUACUGAACAAAAAUAUUUUGAAACUGAGUGCCUUAAGGAGCUGUGGGGUUGGUGUGAAUGUGAUCUGAGCUCUUCUUCUUUUUCCCUCUAGUGUACAGUAUAUGUUGACAGUAAAUUCUUCCUGCAGAUACUGGUCAUGAGAAGUUUUGCCCUGGGGGUCAGACAGAAAACUGUAUCAGAAGUGUAAGAGAAAUCUUGCUGUUUGUGUGGGACCUCUAUAUAAAUAUGCCUGUUUCAGUCCCUUUCCAUUUCAGCAUUUUUGUGUAGAUCUCUCAGGUACAAAGUCUUUAUGGACAAUGUAGUAUUUAAUAAGAUUUUUGAGACCUGUAAUGUUCAGGGGUUUGUUUAUGAUUUUUAUGCAAAAGCAAAAACAUAUUGAAAUCAGACAUGAAUCUAGUUUGUGAAUUAUGUUCGGGAAGUGCUGUGUGGAAAAAUACCCAUAAUCACUCACAGAGAUUAGGAAUUUAAUAUUCUACUUAAUAUACCCAGCAUUAGACACAUAAGAUUAUAAGUAGCAUUGCUGAGUUUAUUCAUAGCAAUAACUACUUGCUUGUGUUAAGGCAGGGUGACAGUUCAGUUCUGAUCCUGAAAAGCAGGAAAAAGCUAAUGUCUUUAUCAACCCUGUGCUCACGCUCUCUUUAUGGGAACUUUGCAAUAACAGUGCAAUUGCUCUUUUGAGCCACAGUCAGGGAUCUCCUGAGUUAUUCUGAAUGUGUGCUAGCCUCAGUUAUUGGUGUCCUGGUCCCCAGAUGGACCUUUUCUUCCACUGCCCUGUGGCAUUCCUUGCCAAAACGGUUAGUCUUACCCUUUACCACAUGAAGGUAGAAGGGCUAGAGUUUGGCAUGACAGUACUGAAGAGCGAGAGCUUCUAUAAAAGAGAAAUCGUAACUUUUUUCUCCAAAAAAACCUACGUAGACUUUGCUUUCAGAUUGUUGAAUCCCACCCCAAGAAGCUAUCCAGUAAACAGUUUGUCAUUGCUGGGCAUCAGGACCAAAUAACAAGAGCCAUGGAUAACCUCCAUCAUAAAGGACCACUAAAGCCGUAUAUAAACAAAGGAUUCUCAAAGAAGCUGGAUAUUUUCUACCUGUCACAUCAGCAAAAUGGGCCUGGCUGCAGUCCUGGGAUUCAGUACAGCUGCUUACCUGUAAUUGGUUGUGAGGCUGUCUAAGAAAUUGUCCUAUACUGGUGAAUAAUAAUCAGCUCAUGGUUGGGUUAGAGCAAGGGUGAUAGGAUAACAUGUGUAGCAGUAACUUUGGUACGUAAAACUCACAGCUAGCAUAGAACAAUGCUGCGUAUUCCCAGAGAUGGAGGAUACUGCCCAUUUGUCUUCUGUCCCUUGCUCUGCCUGUUCAAAGAAUAAUAAAUGAGCAUCAGUAUCCUGCUCUAUUUUCUCUAGGCACUCCAGGAAUGAGCUUUGGGGUAUUUAAGGGAUCUACUAAAGCUCAGAAAUAAACCAUGGGUCAUCUAGAACAACAGAUCUUUCUGCAGUAACAGCAAAGCUGGACUGUGUUAGAACAGAGUUGUCUUUGGAAAUGGUUCAGUUCUGUAUCAGAAGCUUCAGGAAAGGAAUAUUUCUUUAAUGCUUUGUGCUCCAACAUAAGUACCCAUAUUUGUGUGCAGGCAUGUGUAAAACAAAAUAAAAAUUCCAAAACAAAGCAAGCUGACUUGCUUCUUCCUGGCUCCAUGCAGACAAACUCUUAGAACUGGAUAGAUAGCAGUUGUGUUGCUUUACGCGUGCCUGAGACGUGGUCAGAAAACAAUACAGAAAUACAUAAAAAAAGUAGAAAAUAAUGUGCAAAAUGUCUUGCUGCUAUUUUGUUUGCCUCUAAACAAUGUUAUAAAUAAAUGAGUAUGUGCGAUUGACCGUGGAUUAUCCUUUACCCCUGAGGAUCUAAAAACUUGAUUUGGAACAAGUUUACAGGACAUUUUAUAACUUCU